RNAcentral lists this ribosomal RNA (305 nucleotides) under uncultured bacterium. Its description in RNAcentral is "partial 16S ribosomal RNA". It matches the Rfam family "Bacterial small subunit ribosomal RNA", at positions 508 to 807 of the family's 1533-position model. The record is from RNAcentral.
ACAGCAGUCGCCGCGGGAAAACGGAGGGUGCAAGCGUUAUCCGGAUUUAUUGGGUUUAAAGGGUCCGUAGGCGGACUUAUAAGUCAGUGGUGAAAGCCUGUCGCUUAACGAUAGAACUGCCAUUGAUACUGUAAGUCUUGAGUAUAUUUGAGGUAGCUGGAAUAAGUAGUGUAGCGGUGAAAUGCAUAGAUAUUACUUAGAACACCAAUUGCGAAGGCAGGUUACCAAGAUAUAACUGACGCUGAGGGACGAAAGCGUGGGUAGCGAACAGGAUUAGAGACCCCAGUAGUCCCUGUCUCUUAUAC